This 492-nucleotide ribosomal RNA is filed under the name uncultured bacterium. RNAcentral's name for it is "bacterial SSU rRNA". It matches the Rfam family "Bacterial small subunit ribosomal RNA", at positions 25 to 518 of the family's 1533-position model. The record is from RNAcentral.
CAGGAUGAACGCUGGCGGCGUGCUUAACACAUGCAAGUCGAACGAGGCUGCCAUCGGAAGUUUCGGAUGGAAGAAGGCAAGACCGAGUGGCGGACGGGUGAGUAACGCGUGGGGAACCUGCCCCAUUCCGGGGGAUACCAGUUGGAAACGACUGUUAAUACCGCAUAAGCGCACGGCAUCGCAUGAUGCAGUGUGAAAAACCACGGUGGAAUGGGAUGGCCCCGCGUCUGAUUAGCCAGUUGGCAGGGUAACGGCCUACCAAAGCGACGAUCAGUAGCCGGCCUGAGAGGGCGACCGGCCACAUUGGGACUGAGACACGGCCCAAACUCCUACGGGAGGCAGCAGUGGGGAAUAUUGCACAAUGGGGGAAACCCUGAUGCAAGCGACGCCGCGUGAGUGAAGAAGUAUUUCGGUAUGUAAAGCUCUAUCAGCAGGGAAGAAGAUGACGGUACCUGCACAAGAAGCCCCGGCUAACUACGUGCCAGCCGCCGC